CGAUUUCUCCAAUCGUGCUUUGACGCGUCUCCUUUUUUCCCUGUAGAUACGAACGGUUUCUGUAAUGCUCUAAUUUUUUUGGGGGUCAAAAUCGGCAGUCACCGGCUGUUCUACGUCAGUUUUCGAUUUUUUCCCGAUGUCUUCCGGUUUCUACGGACUCCUUUGCCUUCCUGGUUCUCGGUUGUUUCAGUCCAACCGGUAAAAGAGGAGAUAGUUAAGCGGUGCUCUUUCCACGAUGGAAUUCUAGCGAACGAAUUGGGGCGGUCAAAGCGAUGUUCUCUCUCCAGUCCCAACCAUAUCUCCAUCGCCCAAUGGAUAGCUCCACCGCGUCACCCUCCUGCUGGCCGAGCUCCUCCACCGCCCCUCGGCCCCCGCCCUCCUCCACCUCCCCCGUCCUCCUCCACCGCCUCCUCGCCCGACCUCCUCCACUGCCAUAGAGGUGGCGCCCAGACCAGCAGCCCAUCUCCCUGCUUUUCCGCCGGCCAGAGAGACCGGCAGCCCCACCUCCCUUUUUUUCUGCCGGCGGUUACCCUCGGAACUGGAGGACUGGGCGUGGCUUCGACGCUGCCUCCCACGUCUUUGCCGAUCUCAUCGGUCACCGGCGGACGCGGCCUGAGCGGGGUAUCUCCUGGCAUCGUUGGCGCUUCCGUCCUCACCGGCAGUCGAGGCCUGAACCGGGUUUUCCUCGACGUCUUGGCCGUCGCCGAUGUGCCCCCGUCGCCGUCCUGGAUACGCCUCCUCUCCCAUCCCUCCGUGCGCAACCAGGCACGACUGACUGCGGGGAACUCCGACCCCGUGCAUGUUACUGCAGCACCUCCUACUCUCUCUCUCUCACCAGUUUGAUGCGCGCCAACUGUUUGAUGGUAUGUUUGUGAGGAUUUUUUUUUUGUUGGCUGAAUAAUGCUCCAAUAUUCCUUGCAAGAUUUAGAGGUGAUAUUUGUCCAUUCCGUGAUGCCUGAAUUUUGCCUGCUCAUUGGCAUUCACUCUGCCUCCAAGCUGUCUCUGACGAAACGGUGCUGUUCCCUUGCCAUACUGGGAGAAGGUUUUAGAUUUCCUAUUAGUUUCCCGCAAACUAUCAUCCUGAUUGUUACUUCCAGUCUAAAUAGGAUCGCUCGCUCAUUAUCAUGCAGGCUGACACUCCUCUUGGGGUAGAAUUAAAUGGAAAACAGUGGCCCUCCUGGUGGCUUGCCUGCGAGGGGGGCAACCAUAGGAUCUUUUCGGCGACUCCAAUGCCACGGAGAUGUUUUGCAUCACCCUGACAGCUAUUGUGGCAACCACUAGCGCAGGUACUCGGCGGCUAGGUGAUCCAUCCCCUUUCAGCCUUUCAGACAAUGAUUGAUUGCACCCACCUUUGGUUUUUUCAACUAUACUAUUGUUCAGUUAUUAAUUAACAGUGCAAUUUUGUUCCUGCUACAUAAUACUUGGAAACAUGAUUUCUGUCUUUGGCAGAUCUCUUUGAUGAGAGAAAUGAAUAGCUGAUAAAGCCUACAUUGGAGUUUUGUUGUACUGAGAUUUGUUCAGUCCAUGUGGAAUUUUCCCAAUGAUACAGCCAGGGCAAACACAGAAAGAUCCUACUUAAAGCACAAACAGAGGUUGGGAACAAACGUACAUGCCACCCGCCAUUGCCGCCACUACACUUCUAUCGGUUGGUGUUGGAGCUCAUGUGGUAAUACACUAGGGAUGACAUGGAGGCCACGGAGAUUCGUUUCUCUUUCAGGUAUCACUGUGCUCCAUUUCGAAAAAAGGUAUCAUUGUGCUUCUUAUUUUCUUUAGUAUGUAGCUUCAAAAGGUAUUACCUGCUCUUUAUUGAGUGGUUAAUAUGAAAUGUCUAAAUGAAUGAUGUUUAAUUAGUGUCUUGUGUCUAAUAGGGCAUGUGAGAACAAUGUUAGCUGAACAAUUUUGUUUUAGUCUAGGAGUUUUCAACAUAGAGUCCAGAGCUGUUGUUUUUUUAGAGAGAAUACAGAGUUGCGUGCUCAAGCUUUCGAAUAGUAAUUAAGAAAUUUCCUUAAAUAUUAUUUUCUCUGAUGUAAAAGAUCAUUUGGAAGAUUUUUCCUCCAGCUGCCUAAAAAAUAGACUAUACUGGUUCAAAGAGUGGUUUUGAAAAUUACUUCCUCAAAUAUUAGAAAACAGAUGGGAUGGUUUUUUCUUUCCAUCUCUUUUUUUCCAGAUUAUGGAACAUGAAAGAAGGAGAUUAAUCGAUAUGCAAGCACCUAGACAAGAUGUGCAGAGAUGUUACCAAUGUCAGCUUCUCUGCGCACCCUGAGCAGCACCAACACGUGGAGUGUGUCUUCAGUGAGUCACCAUCCUAAUCAGAGGCAGCGAACCCUCAUCGGUUCAGUACAGAUGUUACAAGUGUUUUUGAUUUUUACUCUCCUCAUGUUGUGCGUCAUUGAGAUUUAUAGAGUAGUGGGUAGUGAACCCUGCCUGCCUUCUUUGAUAAUGUGAUGUAGGAUUUUACAUAGAGAGAGGUAAGCACUACUACAUAUAUGUGACAGUUUCAUGUCCCUAUCCUGCACUUAUAAGGAUUUCCGCAAUUGUUGAUAGCUGCAGCUAAAUACCCGUAACCGGAAAUUUUAGGAGAUCUUUCUUCCGGUGUAGAGAAAAAUAACUGGGUAGUACAUUUGAAGUUCCUAUAGGUACCAGAUUAGAGAUUUAAACACUGGAAAGAAACUCUAGAUCUUACAUGUUGACGAGAACACUUAGGUAGUACAUUUUAGGUUCCUACAGCUACCGGAUUGGAGAGUUAAACUUAAACCAUUGGAAAUAAAAUCUAGAACUUACAAUUCUUCUGCUGUAGAGGAAAAUAGUUAGGCAGUGCAUUUUAGGUUCCCCAUAAAUAAUGAUUUCUACUUUCUAUGCUUUUGUAGAACGGAAAUACUUCUCUGGCAGAACAACAUAGAUGGAGCAAUGGAUAAAAUGUUCUUCUUAACUGAGCCAUCUUCCUGGUGCUCCAGAAUAUAUAUGUUAAGUUUUUGAAGUCAAUGACAAUAGGAUGACACAUGGUUUCAAUACUGAAAUAGAUAGCUUUUGAGAUAAAUCCGCCAUUUGCUUACACCACGAUAUGCACCUCUUCUAUAUGAGAAAAUAUUACUGAGUGGGUUUAUAGUUGUUCUGCCCAAAGUAAGCAUGGUUAGCAUCUCAUGAUUGCUUAAUUUUCCACUGAUUAUGUUGAUUUGUAAUUUAUCUUAAAAGGAGAUUCUGAUUUGUAUUGUUGCACUAUGUACCUUAGUUUUUGCGUUAUCUUUUCACAAGUUCAGUUCAGAUGAUAAUAUUGACAUAUUUUCCUUCAUAAAUGAGCUUCGCCAAAUUCAUCCCAGGUUCCCAACAACUUAAAUAAGCUGCUCGAAAGCAUCCUGAUGGAUCAACCGAAGAAAGAAAUCACAAAUCGCAACAAACUUUAUGCGGCUUAAUCGGUUAUCAGAGAAGUAAAUUCUGAAAGGAGAGCGAUCAAAGCUGAAAAUACCAUUAGCAGGUAUUAUCUAUGGUUCCUGGAGUUUUUGUGAUACAGUAAAGUGGUCUGAUUAUUUUUGUAAUGGCAAUGCUGAGACUGUAGGCUUCCCUGUCGAUCAUAGGUAGUCUGCACUGUACUCCAACUUUUUUUUGAACUUCUGUAUUGGAGUAUUUUGUAAUGACACACUUUGUUUGUGCAAAUGUCGUGCUAUAAUUAUCGUGUGUCUCUCUUAUCUAGAAACCUCAACUUUCUCCAUGUAAGGAUUCUUGGUAAGUUAAUGAAGUUAUUGCUUGCAAGGCUUA
Long non-coding RNA from Lolium perenne, 3753 nucleotides. RefSeq lists it as uncharacterized. NCBI's taxonomy places the organism in Eukaryota, Viridiplantae, Streptophyta, Magnoliopsida, Poales, Poaceae. The record is from RefSeq and is a predicted model, not a curated record.